GUCCGGCAGCGGUGGUGAGAUCAGAGCAGUAGGCGACCGACUGGGCUUAGGUGUGGCCUGUGGGCUGGAGGCCGGUGGCGCUGGGCUAGAGGCAGCGAUGCCGGGAACUGAAGGCAGGCUGCUGCUGGGUUGUGCAGGUCGGGUCGGAGUGUGAGAAGCAGGUGCAGAUCGGAUCGCCGAAAAAACCUGCUGGUCGUCUGAAGAUGAAUGCCGGUGAGGUCGAGAUCGAGAUCGGGUCUGGUUCUGGACGUGGUCGAUCUGCUGCUGCUGGGAAGAGAUUUUUUUUAAUUAUUUUUUUUUGGUUGUUGGUGGCGGCAGAAACAGAAGAAAAUAUUGUUUUCUUCUAGGGUUUGUUUCUUUUCGUUUAGAAAGAAAACUAGAAAAUUAAGAUUUUUUUUUUUUU
Rosa rugosa (rugosa rose) is the source of this 403-nucleotide long non-coding RNA. RefSeq lists it as uncharacterized. The transcript is spliced from 2 exons. NCBI's taxonomy places the organism in Eukaryota, Viridiplantae, Streptophyta, Magnoliopsida, Rosales, Rosaceae. The record is from RefSeq and is a predicted model, not a curated record.